CUAGGGCUGGCAAUGAGUUGAGACAGCUCGCGAGCUACUCGAACUCGGCUCGGUCAAAGCUCGGUCAAAGCUCGACUCGAGUGAGCUCGACUUGAGCUCGAACUCGACUCGAUAGGUUAACGAGUCGAGUCAAGCAACUCAAUACUCGACUCGAAAAACUCGUGAGAUACUCGAUAAUUUUUUUUUAUAUAUAUAUAUAUAUAUACUUUUAAUUUUUUUUUAAGAAAAUUUAGCUUUUUUUUCUAUAAAAAUACUUGUAAUUUUCUUUAAAAAAAAUGAAAAAAAAGUAUAUAAAAUGACUAAAAGUAAAGUAAAGAAUUUCUUCUAAAAAAAAUAGAACUAUAUCAAAGGAUAAGAUUUAAAGAAACCCAAAAGAUUUAAUCUUAACCAUUCAUUGUAAAGACUAAAGAUAGAGUGAGUGUGAGAUAGUAAAAACUAAAAACCCUAGAAACUAGCAGGGAGGCACGCAGUCACGCACAACACUAGCAGUUCAUCUCUCAAGGUAAAGAAUUUCGCCUCUUGCCGACUUGCCCUCUUCAAUCCUCCUUCUCUCUCCAAUCUCCAAUUCUACAUCGAAAUUCAUCUCCAGAACACCAGUACACCACCAUCUCCAUCGACAUCCGAGUCGCGAAGAGCAUCUCCAUCGACAUCCGACUCGCGAAGACCACGAUAAGUCGACGGCGAACACGGCACAUUCUAAGGUUUUUUGUGGAAAAAGUUUGAGCUAGGUGCAUGAUUUCGUGUUAAGUUUGCGGAACCUAAAAUGUGGCCAUCAUGUGAUGUGCAAAUUGUAUUAGUUGUUGUGGAUUUGUAGUGAUAGGGUGAUAAUAUAUUUGUAUUAGUUGUUUGGUUGAAAUCGAUUCGGAAAAACUCUUCAUGUUGAUGUUCGAUGUAUGGUUAAGUAUUUUGAGUUUGGUA
Molecule: long non-coding RNA, 918 nt
Organism: Beta vulgaris subsp. vulgaris (sugar beet)
Lineage: Eukaryota; Viridiplantae; Streptophyta; Magnoliopsida; Caryophyllales; Amaranthaceae
Exons: 2
Source: RefSeq, a predicted model, not a curated record